GCACUGGUCGAUCCAGUUUUUGCACUAACCGUGAAUAUUCACGUCGAAUUUCACUCACUUACAAACUCCGGCACGAUCCACUCGCCUCGACGGUUCGAGGAGAAGUCGACGAGAACUAGUACUUUCAUCGCGGUAUGGCCGUUGACGAGAACAACACAUCUAUUAAUUGCUCUUAACCAUUGAAUUCGUAGCACUACUAUGGAAAAAACAAAAGAAAAUACUACAAGACGCCUGAUACAUGCGAGUCUCAGAAAACACGAUUUAUCGGAAAUUUUCGAUCGAUCUGGUAAAAAGUUCUGACACAAUUAAUAAGGUAGGUUACAGAUUUCCAUCAAUUCGUUAGGAAUUAAAUCGAAGAGGCAAGUGGAUAACCGUUAUAAACAAAAAAAAGUAACUAACAUAACCUUAUCGAUGGUUCGCCAUUGUCUCUUAAACCAUGGCAUACUUUAUGCAGUGUACAUUUUAUCGGUGGCAAAAAAUCAGAUGACGAAAACAGUCCUAGUUACGUCCCACAAAGUUUCCCUACAAUCGAUUCUACAAACAAGGUUGACAAACAUGGGACUUCAACUAGGCAUCAAUGUUUCAUGGCACGUAAAAAGAUAAAACUUGAAGUUACCAUACUACAGCCAAAAAUACAGAUAAUUGAAAAUGUUAAUGAAACAAAUUCAGAUGAAUCUUUACUGAUCGAUGAAGAAUACAAAGUAAAUGUGCCAUUCGAUACUAAAUAUAUAGAAUCCACAUUUACUUAUUAUAGAUAUAUUGAUAAUAAUUACUGCGAUGCUGAAAUCAAAGUGGGACUACCAACAAAUCCAAAUAAUGUAGUAAAUAGUACUUGCCAAAUAAAGGAUCUGUGUUGCGAUGAAGAAACGAAAAAUUAUAUAAAAGAAAUAAAAUCACAGUUAACUUUUAAGAAAGAUCAUAUGAAGGAAUAUAAUAAAGCUCAAAAAUAAUGAAACAAACAAUUGUGGUUCGGAUGUAAUUGUAAAAGAACAAUUAAGCUAGGAUUAU
RNAcentral lists this long non-coding RNA (1008 nucleotides) under Polistes fuscatus (common paper wasp). Its description in RNAcentral is "uncharacterized LOC122526728, transcript variant X1". Lineage: Eukaryota; Metazoa; Arthropoda; Insecta; Hymenoptera; Vespidae. The record is from RNAcentral.